RNAcentral lists this ribosomal RNA (253 nucleotides) under uncultured bacterium. RNAcentral's name for it is "partial 16S ribosomal RNA". It matches the Rfam family "Bacterial small subunit ribosomal RNA", at positions 524 to 776 of the family's 1533-position model. The record is from RNAcentral.
AACGUAGGUACCGAGCGUUAUCCGGAUUCACUGGGCGUAAAGCGCGUGCAGGUGGUAUGGUAAGUCGGGCAUGAAAACUCUUGGCUCAACUGAGAGACGCUGUCCGAUACUGCCGAACUUGAGGGUGUAAGAGGGGGGUGGAAUUCCGCAUGUAGUGGUGAAAUGCGUAGAUAUGCGGAGGAACACCAGUGGCGAAGGCGGCCUCCUGGUACACUCCUGACACUCAGACGCGAAAGCUAGGGGAGCGAACGGG